UACGACGGGUGCAAGCGUUACUCGGAAUUACUGGGCGUAAAGCGUGCGUAGGUGGUGAGUUAAGUCUGUCGUGAAAGCCCCGGGCUCAACCUGGGAAUGGCGAUGGAUACUGGCUCGCUAGAGUGCGGUAGAGGAGAGUGGAAUUCCCGGUGUAGCAGUGAAAUGCGUAGAGAUCGGGAGGAACAUCAGUUGCGAAGGCGGCUCUCUGGACCAGCACUGACACUGAGGCACGAAAGCGUGGGGAGCAAACAGG
RNAcentral lists this ribosomal RNA (253 nucleotides) under uncultured bacterium. RNAcentral's name for it is "partial 16S ribosomal RNA". It matches the Rfam family "Bacterial small subunit ribosomal RNA", at positions 524 to 776 of the family's 1533-position model. The record is from RNAcentral.